Molecule: long non-coding RNA, 1157 nt
Organism: Protopterus annectens (West African lungfish)
Lineage: Eukaryota; Metazoa; Chordata; Ceratodontiformes; Protopteridae
Exons: 2
Source: RefSeq, a predicted model, not a curated record
UUGACAGUGCAUAUAUGGAUCUCCUGCUACAUAACAACGUCUGAUGGGUGUCCAGGGGAGAGGUGCUGAAACAGUUUGCUGCAUGUCUGGAAUGCAUGAAAAGUUUCCUAGAAAGCAAGGGACUCACUGACCCUGAAUUGGAACAUUCAGAUUGGCUGGAAAAGCUGCACUUCAUGGUGGAUAUUACACUGCAACUCAACAUGCUGAACAAAAGUCUUCAGGGAAAAGGAAUUACGGCCCUGCAGAUGCUGGAUGAUGUUUUGGCUUUGGUGCACAAGAUAACGGUGUUUGCCAGAGAUGUACAGAGAGGUACACUCUCUCACUUCCCCUCCUUGAGAGAGUUCAAAGAAGCACACAAUCACAUAAAUUGUGAGUAUUUAUAGCAUGCAGUUAUCUAAUGCAAACUGCAUUUGGGGAAGGAUUCUGUGAGCUCAGAAUGGAAAAUAACUCAUCAUCUUUCCCUGUCACACCCCUGGACAUUGACCCACCCUACUGUCCUCAUUUACAGGAGUUAAGUCAACCCGAUCUUGAAAUUGAACUGGCCAACAUAGCUGAUAAAGACUUAUGGGUGUAUAAGUUCAAAACCUGACAGCUGAUCUCAAAGAUUUUGCCUAGCAGAAGGCCAUUCUCGCUCAGAAGCACAAAUGGAACAAUACUGAAAACCUCCCCAAACCCGACAAACUUGCGUUUGAAAUAUGGAAUGCCAUUCCUGACACUUUUAUGAGUAUGAUGAUUUAUCCAUUUGAAGUCCUGGCCAUCUUUGGAUCCACAUACAUAUGCAAACAGGUUUUCUCAAGCAUGAACUACAGAAAAUGCAAAUAGCACUCAUGCCUCAUGGAUGACAGCCUGCAGUCCUGUGUGAAGAUCAAAGUCAUGUCUUACAGCCCUGAUACAGAGAAGCUAUGCAGUGAUGUUCAGAAACAGAAAUCACAUUAAACUGGUUUGACAGUUGACUGCUGGACAUGGCUGAGGAAAAAACAGAAGAGGAUGACAGCACACUGAAAUGGACUUAAGUCAUAAUUAAAUACAAACUGGCCUAUUUUUAUGUUUACUGUUUUUUAAAGCUAUUAGGCAGCAGUUAUAUGUUUUAUUGAUUUCACAGUGGGCUACUUUUUAUUUUAUUAAUUUUCCACAAAUAAAGGAAGAACUCAAACAGG